Molecule: long non-coding RNA, 4145 nt
Organism: Salvelinus sp. IW2-2015
Lineage: Eukaryota; Metazoa; Chordata; Actinopteri; Salmoniformes; Salmonidae
Source: RefSeq, a predicted model, not a curated record
AACGCAUACAGACACGUUUCGAUUACAGAUGGAACGCAGAUGGUGAAGGAGACCUACGGGCAUUCUGUCACGAGUUUGUAGUAACAAUAGGACGUAUAUUUAUGGKAGCUGGAGUCCGUAGCCUACAUGCGCUUGCAUAUAAAAUACAGACAUCUGCAUACUGGUUAAUCUCAUGCCAUCCAAACACUCCUUUGUCCAGGCUUCUGUCUUUUUAUUUACUCUCUUUUAACCGCCCAUCAGAGGCAGCUGCUCGCCAUUUACCAGACCUCUGCUCAAGCAACGUGACGCACUCCACAGCACGUCCUCAUUUUAGAGGAGAUCGAUGCAUGGYGGAUCGGACAGCUCGAGCGCUUCAUCGCAGCCUUACUGACUGACACAGAUGCUGCGAGACUGGUGCAUUGUGGACCGGUGGUCAAACUUACAUCAUUGCAAAAGUGGCCAAACCCACAGCUCAGCUGUCGGAAUGCAAGACCCCAUGAUGACUGGGGUUCCCUGGUGUCCCUGACUGACUGGUGAAUACAGGAGUAGGGAGAGACAAAUGGGUAUGUGUCCAGUAUAUCCUCAUACUGUGGAGGGGGUUCUUGUAAAGGCAGAGGUUUAACAGCCGUUAUUGAUGGUAAUUCUGUCUUGUGUGCUCCAUUCCGUGAUAUCUUUCAAUGACUAUUGUUGGUAUUAGGGGAGCUGUCGUAACAAGUUAUUCAUUUAAAUUAGGUUAGUUCAAAGUAAAAAAAUUCAAAUAAGUUAGAAAAAAAAGGUUAUUCAGGUCCAUUAGAUACUGUUCCUCAACGCCUAUGAUUCUUGGUGAUUUUGCAGAUUAAUUUAGUAACCCUGGCCUACUGCAGUUCAUAGUAUCUAUUGGCAGUAGUCAAGGCCAAUGGUCCAGCACGUCCUUUGUAGGGUUUUGGGGACAGGUGUUCCAGGGGGUUGCGUUCCACUUUCUGCUGCUCUCUGCUCUGUGUUUAUCUCCAGAUAUAUCCUGAGGAAGAUGCUGGGAUGGUGCCAGCCCUCAGAGCCUAUUUAGACGAGUCAACGACAUUUCCUGACUGACAAGGCUGUCAACAAAGCUGUUUUUAAACAGUUGUCAACGCGGUUCAUCCUUACCGAACUGGGACUGGAACUGGGACCUAUGGCUUUCACCCACUGAGAAAGGGGCACAACAUUGGCAUUCACCCACUGCUGAUGGGGCACAGCCACACUUCUUUAUCUAUCAAUAUGUGUUAGAAGUGUAUCACCUUGCUGUGAUUAUUUGGAUAUUUUACUUAGCCUACUUAAAAUGGAAGUAUCAUUGGCACAUUGCUGGUUUCCCUUUAACCUUUUACUGCAAUGAGCUAAAUCAGUCACAGUGUUUCUUGGUUGUCUUAAACAAAUCUACUAUGAAACAAGAGUAUACACCUCACAUACAUGGUUAUGGGCUUAAAAAAAGACCUGUACCAUAUCAGACCUGUACCAUACAUUUGAAAUGUAUUCAAGUUUGAGUUUGCAUCCCAAUAUUACAGUUUAUAUACAUCAAAGAAGACUGAAACAUUACAAAACCAUAGAAACACAGAAUUUUCGGCGGGUUUUUGAAAUAAUGUUUAUUAAUGAUGAAAGAUAUGAAUAACAUUCCACCCAUGAGUCCACUAGAGGGCGAUUUGGUAAUUUGACUGCAGGAAAGGGCUACUUGUAGUCUUUUGUGCCACAUUGUUCAGGACUUUAUUGGAUAGGACCACAUUUCAUGCCAUAAGAGAGACUCAUAAGGGGUGGAGUUGUAGUGUUGUGUGUCUGACGCUUUGGUGCUUUGCAUUUCCUUCCCCGAAAUACUGUUUAACUGAGGGAUGCUUUCUCUCCCCUCCUUUGUAAAAUAACUCUAACACGUUCUGAUCCCCUUCCACACUGUUCAGCUGAUCAAAGCACUGACACUGCAGUUGACUAACACCUCUCUCUGAUGCCUGCUUCUCCUCAUGCUGUCAGCACUGUCCUUUCUCUUCUCUGUAACCUUGGCAACACUUUAACGCCUUACUCACCUCCUCCAAUCUCUGACGUCUAACAUGACUAACAAGAUUGAGUCUGCUGAGAUGGCCUUGCUGUUAAUUUCAAUGAUGUGCUCCUAACCAAGCUAGCAGGGAGCACACCCAUGACAAGCCUGUGUGGAUGGUUUGGUAACAUUAGUCUACCCUAACGUUACAGGAGUGUUGAGGAUGUUAGAGUUGUGUCAGUGUGUGUAGCUGUGUUUGUGUUGGGGGUGUAGUUUUUAGACGGUUUCCCGAGGCCUGGUUUGUCUUGUGAUUGCUGCAUGUACUCUGAGUAACCUUAGCUGGAGUCGUAAAGAACUAACCAACACUGGGGUACUCCUGGUUUACUAACCUGGACUAACAGUCUAACAUUCACUAAUCAACCAAACUGAAACCCAAGCACUGGAGAAGUGCCUUGUCUGACUCUCCCUGGUUAAAACCAUCCUUAACCUAAUGGUCUGUUAAAACCACUGUGUGUGUGUGUGUGUGUGUGUGUGUGUGUGUGUACAUUGUGUGUUUAAGAGUGGGGCUGUUACUGUCAUUAAUAUUCUUACACUCUGAAACCAAACCCCCAACUGUCAACAGCUCUCUUGGCAUUCCUUAAUAAAUACACUAACAAUAACCCUCUAAUACCUAACAGUACUAACGUCUGCUAACAGACCUAUUGUUACUAAUACUCAACUGUACUAUGGAUGAUGUUGGCUGGACUUGUAAUUUCUAACACACUCACUAACCCUUUGCUUUGUGCCCUGAGUCUGAGACAGAGUCCUCUCACAUUUUCCUGAAACCCUUCUCCCGCCAGACACAGAUCACCCAAAAUCAUAUACAAGAACUAUGUAUUUAUCAAUCUGUUAUAACCUUAAGUGUGAUAUGUUGCUUGAGACAUGUUACUUUUGGCCCCCUAAAGCACAAUGGUGAGUGAUUCCAGGAUCUGGGAUGGAAAGCUGGAUCAACCAAUUGAUUUAAAGAAAAAGCGCACCUAGGUUGACCACACACUUCUGCUCAGGGUGACGAUUGAUUUAAAAAAMAUAUAUAUUAUAAAUCGUACAGUAACUAUGCUAAAGAAUUGUAUUUCAUUAAAGCUAAAGAAUUGCAUUUCAUUAAAGCUGAAGUAUUCUAUCUUAACAAAUAAUGGCUGACAAAUGUUUGUCCCUCUGUCCAUUGUGUGGCCAACCUCCAAAAGGUGUUGCAGCUCAGUGCUGGGUUUGCAGUCUGCAUAGACACUGAUGUGUAUUAUCUUAUAAAAGAUAAACCAAAGGAAAUAGCAAUCCUUUCCUGCUUUACUACUAACUGAGUGGUGACUGGUAUACUAACCACCCCAUAUGAGGCCUAACAAUUUGACCAUUGAUUCAUUGCUCUUACUAACAUACUGUAUCUUCCCACAUAAAACAAUGCUACAUUUUACUAUAGAAUACUAUAGUACACUCUGUAGUAUCCCUGGAUCAUGUGUAGAACUUACUAUAUCAUUUUGUGUUAUACUAUAACGGUAUACAGUAACCGAAAAGACACUGGUCCGAAUCCCUGAGCCGACAAGGUGAAACAUCUGUCGAUGUGCCCUUGAGCAAGGCACUUAACCCUAAUUGCUCCUGUAAGUCGCUCUGGAUAAGAGAUUCUGCUAAAUGUCUAAAAUGUAGAAUGGUAUAUAGUAUACUGCACACUGUAGUAUCCCUUGAUCGUGUAGUGCUUACUAUAUACUUUUGUAGUAUACUGUGGAAUACUAUACUACACACUGUAGUAUCUCUUGACUAUAUAGUGCUUACUAUUGGAUUGUGUAGUAUACUGGCGAAUACUACACUCCACAUUGUAAUAUCCCUCUAUCGUGUACUGCUAACUAUAUAUUUUUUAAAUAUACUGUAGAAUACUAUACUACACACCGUAGUAUCCCUCGAUCGUGUGUAGUGCUUACUAUAUAUUUUUUAUUGUAUACUGUAUAAUACUAGAUUAAAUAAUACAGCAUUAUCUGCAAAAAACACUAGGAAAUACUACAGUAAUGUCCACAAAAACAGUAAAAAAAAAAAAAAAACUAUAGUUAUACUAGAUUAUUUUAAUUUGCAUAUGCUUCACAUUCCCAUCCCCCAUACAGUGGUGUAAAGUACUUAAGUAAACAUUUUUGAAAGUACUACUUAAGUAGUUUUUUGGGGUAUCUGUACUUUA